RNAcentral lists this ribosomal RNA (423 nucleotides) under uncultured bacterium. RNAcentral's name for it is "bacterial SSU rRNA". It matches the Rfam family "Bacterial small subunit ribosomal RNA", at positions 358 to 773 of the family's 1533-position model. The record is from RNAcentral.
GGAAUAUUGGACAAUGGGCGAAAGCCUGAUCCAGCGACGCCGCGUGUGUGAAGAAGGCCUGCGGGUUGUAAAGCACUUUCGAUGGGAACGAAAUGUGCCGGGCUAAUACCCCGGCAAGCUGACGUUACUCAAUGAAGAAGCACCGGCUAACUCUGUGCCAGCAGCCGCGGUAAUACAGAGGGUGCGAGCGUUAAUCGGAAUUACUGGGCGUAAAGCGCACGUAGGUGGCGGUGUAAGUCGGGUGUGAAAUCCCCGGGCUCAACCUGGGAACUGCAUUCGAGACUGCAUUGCUCGAGUAUGGGAGAGGGAGGCGGAAUUUCCGGUGUAGCGGUGAAAUGCGUAGAUAUCGGAAGGAACAUCAGUGGCGAAAGCGGCCUCCUGGACCAAUACUGACGCUCAUGUGCGAAAGCGUGGGGAGCAAAC